Rattus norvegicus (Norway rat) is the source of this 2914-nucleotide long non-coding RNA. RefSeq lists it as uncharacterized. NCBI's taxonomy places the organism in Eukaryota, Metazoa, Chordata, Mammalia, Rodentia, Muridae. The record is from RefSeq and is a predicted model, not a curated record.
CCUGGUGUGCACAAAGCCCAGGUUCCAUCCCAGCACCACCUAGUUUGAGGGAGCCCGACUAUAAUCCCAGCACCUGGCCCAGAGAAGACCUGAUGAGGUCAUCCUUGAUGAUGUAAUGAGCUGGAGGCUGCCUGAGACCCUAUCAAAAUAAGAACAACAACAAUAAUAAUAAACAAUAACAACAUUUUAAAAAACAGAGUAAACUGGCUGUACACUGCCAAGGCUUCUGAGCACAGGGUUGGGGACCAUGGCCUGUCACCGAGUGCUAGAUGUGAGAGCCAAACUGAUCCUGACUGUGAGGAACGACCAUGAGUCGUAGCUCAGGCUGUCAGUGCGACUUGGCUUCUAAAGCUCUGACUGCGGAUUCCUUUAAAGAAAGCCAUUCUGUGUAACCCAAGGACACUCAGCAUUGAGCCUGAGAAGGUCUAAGCUGUCCUAAAGCAAGUCCUUGAUGAGGAUGUGUCUGUCUCUACUCUAGUGGCCCCAGCCUGGGCCACCACUGACAGUACUGUCCCUUUCUCUUGUUCCACUUCUCCAACUGGAAAAAGAAAGAAAAAAAGACUCCACCAGGCAUGUCACAAUGGGUCCGAUUGUUCUGAGCAGGCCACGCUGACUUAAAUAUUUACCUUUUUGUUUCACAAUCCAACAGGAAACAGGGGUCAAGAAUUUCUUUUUGUUCCCUUUCUCCCCCCACCCCUCUGGUCAGCACUAAAGAACAGUUGUUUUUCUAGUUACCCAAGAGGGAAAUGAUAACAGGUAGGAACGGUAAUCUCCAGACCAUAGCCCUUGGAUUUCAGUGGAAUUCUCCAGCAACUGGAUGAGACAGCUCUGAAUCUGAACCGUGGUCAACUUUCUCCUACUUUCUGUGUGCCUGGGGUGGGGCUGGUGAGCAGGAUCAGAGCUGAGCCUUGUUAAAUAACAAGGAGGAGAAGGAGAAGGAGAAGAAGGAAAAGAAGGAGGAGGAGGAGGAGGAGGAGGAGGAGCAGCAGAAGAAGAAGAAGAAGAAGAAGAAGAAGAAGAAGAAGAAGAAGAAGAAGAAGAAGAAGAAGAAGAAGAAGAAGAGGAGGAGGAGGAAGAGGAGGAGGAGGAAGAAGAGGAAGAAGAAGAAGAAGAAGAAGAAGAAGAAGAAGAAGAGGAAGAGGAAGAGGAAGAGGAAGAGGAAGAGGAAGAGGAAGAAGAAGAAGAAGAAGAGGAGGAGGAGAAAGAAGAAGAAGAAGAAGAAGAAGAAGAAGAAGAAGAAGAAGAAGAAGAAGAAGAAGAAGAAGAAGAAGAAGAAGAAGAAGACGACCACCCUAGGAGGACAUUGCUUUACAUGGUUCUGCUCUAGGCUGCAGCAGACCAAACCAAAAUGGAGUCACUUGUGUCAACUGUCAUCCCUUAGAACCUGUUCUGUGUUCUGGGGAGUCUUGACUGUUUCCUCAGUGUGAUAAUGAAGUUUUUGCUGCUUUAAGCCUUGUGAAAGACCUCCCUGUGUGAUGAACUGGGGGCGUUCAGUUGGUAGUAUUCACCUCGCACGCAUAAAGCCCUAACUUAGGUCCCCAAUGUGGCAUAAAAGUCUUCCAGGGGUUAACCUCUCAGAGUUCGGGCAUUUCCUUGUUCCCUCCUCACAAACCCCGUAGUGUUUUUGCUCUGUCCUUGGCCCAGCAAGAGCUUUCUGUUCUGCUUUGUGGUUGGAAACAGUCUCGAUGCAGGAACCACAAACAAAAUGCUAUUUGGGUCUGCAACGGGAUCUACUUGAGGUACCGAACGUCAUCGUGAACAAGGUGCACUCCAGUCAAGAAGUCCUGAUCAUUACAACGGGUCUGGUUAGGCUUGGGGACCACGGUUACUCAACUCCUCUGUACGCUGUUGAGUUCUGAAGGAGCAGCCCGUUCAGACCUCCUGCUUAGAAGAGUCUGUGCAAGAAUGGGGGCCGUUUCUUCCUUGAAUACGUGGAGAAAGUGGUCUGGUCCGAUGCCUUCUGAGGCAGUUUUUAUCACAUUCCUCAGUGGGCAGCUCCAGGGACCCAUCUAGCUGUGAUCCUAAAGAUGACCACAGUAUCCCUUGUUGCUUUGGGCGUGGCCACUUCUGUCCUUUGUGUCCUGGUUCAGCUUGGAAUUGAUUGUGCUCCCCCGCUGCUCUUCCUGGCGCUUGAAACACUUUCUCUGAAGCCCAGGGCAUUCAUUAAUUUUCUUAUUAGUGUGGCCAAGACAGCCAGGCAGAAACCAAUUACAGGAAGGCAGGCUGACUUCUGACUCACAGUCUGGGAGGUGUGUUAGUCCAUCCUAAAGAGUGUGGUGGAGAUUCUUCCCGAGGUGCAGGGCCUGGAAGCAGAGAGAGCUGGAACCAGGAAUUAUAACUUUCAGAGCACACAGCCGCCAGUCCCCUCGGGAAGGAGGACGUAGCUCUGAGGGUGGAACGCUUGCCUAACACACAAAUCCCCAGGUUCCAUCCCCAGCACCCCACAGAGUAGACACGGGGAAGGGAGCACACCUGUGACCUCGGCUCUCUCCAGAGGUGGAGGCAGGGGGAUCAGGUUCAAGAUCACCCGCAGCCACGCAAAAAAUUUGAGGCCAGCCUGGGCUACAGGAGUGAGACGCUAAAACGAAACAAAGUUUACCCGAAAGUGACCUAGUUCUUAGAGCUCCACAGCCUUCAAGAUGGCAUCACAAGCUCGAGACCAAGAAUUCAAAACACCGGCCUCAGAAGAACAUUCUAGAUCCAAACUAUAACACCUGUAUGGGCCACAAAUUCCCGGGCUCUAGUGAUUCUCCCACCUCAGCCUCCUGAACUCUGACACUACCGACAUGACACUUGGCUUCUCCUCUUGUCUCAGCCACUCCUGCUGGGAUACGUAUUCACUUUCCCUGGUAUUUUCAAAGGACUAAUAGUAUUUCUAAUUGUUCAUUCUUUCUAUUGUAUAUUUCAUAUCUUA